UACGUAGGGGGCAAGCGUUGUCCGGAUUUAUUGGGCGUAAAGAGCGUGUAGGCGGCCAGGUAGGUCUGCUGUGAAAACUCGAGGCUUAACCUCGAGCUGUCGGCGGAAACCAUCCGGCUAGAGUCCGGAAGGGGAGAAUGGAAUUCCCGGUGUAGCGGUGAAAUGCGCAGAUAUCGGGAAGAACACCCGUGGCGAAGGCGGUUCUCUGGGCCUGUCCUGACGCUGAGGCGCGAAAGCUAGGGGAGCGAACAGG
Molecule: ribosomal RNA, 253 nt
Filed under: uncultured bacterium
Lineage: Bacteria
Description: partial 16S ribosomal RNA
Rfam family: Bacterial small subunit ribosomal RNA
Source: RNAcentral